CGACAAGAGGAUGGCGACGGUUGGCCGGUUAGUCUGUGAAUGGACAGCAGGCGGCAGAGCGAAGUGACGGAAGUGAAAUGAGAACAGGAGUAGAUGGCGGGAAAGAUGAUGUAGAGGUAAAAUAAGAUAAAAACAAAGCGGGAAAGGAGAACAACAAGCAGAGUGAAAGUAAACCUGUAAUGUGGAGGAAACGGACAGUGAGCGCAGUGUAACCGUGACAACGAGACACGAGGACGGAUUUAAAGUGAUCAUAAAAUCGUCUCCAGACGGUCGUCGUUCGGCCUCUACCCUAAGAUCUGACAAACUUGGGUGUCCCACCUGAAGGCUAAGCUUCUGCUGGUCCAGCUCUUAGUGUCACUGAGGCACGCAAACCCUGAGUCCAGUAGGCGGGAUUAAUGCACCUGUAAGCUGAUUUGUCAAAUGCCAUCAAGGCCUGAAGAAGAACGGAGGAGGACAGCACUACUGUGGUAGAGGAGCGUGUGUGUGCAGACAUGGCUGCUGUUGAUGAAGCGGACUGAACUUAGAGGAGAGACACAAACUAAAGUAUCGAUCCCGUCACGUCAGUGUGGAUCUGACACCAACGUCUGUAUCACUUCAUCGAUGCUUGUAUCGAUCCGCUCAGCCUGAGUUGAAGCAGCAAUGAGUUCAGUUCAGUAUCUGAGAGAGUUCAUCAAGGAGAGACUAACUGCUGUUUGUGAAGAAAUCUUCUCAGAGGUUCAAAAACCAUCGUCCAGUAUGAGGAGGAGAUCAACCGUCUGCACAGACUGCUGGAUAUCAGCC
Molecule: long non-coding RNA, 780 nt
Organism: Oreochromis aureus
Lineage: Eukaryota; Metazoa; Chordata; Actinopteri; Cichliformes; Cichlidae
Source: Ensembl